This 429-nucleotide ribosomal RNA is filed under the name Acidobacteriota bacterium. Its description in RNAcentral is "Acidobacteria bacterium partial 16S ribosomal RNA". It matches the Rfam family "Bacterial small subunit ribosomal RNA", at positions 355 to 776 of the family's 1533-position model. Lineage: Bacteria; Pseudomonadati; Acidobacteriota. The record is from RNAcentral.
UGGGGAAUUUUGGACAAUGGGGGAAACCCUGAUCCAGCCAUCCCGCGUGUGCGAUGAAGGCCUUCGGGUUGUAAAGCACUUUUGGCAGGAAAGAAACGUCAUGGGUUAAUACCCCGUGAAACUGACGGUACCUGCAGAAUAAGCACCGGCUAACUACGUGCCAGCAGCCGCGGUAAUACGUAGGGUGCAAGCGUUAAUCGGAAUUACUGGGCGUAAAGCGUGCGCAGGCGGUUCGGAAAGAAAGAUGUGAAAUCCCAGAGCUCAACUUUGGAACUGCAUUUUUAACUGCCGGGCUAGAGUGUGGCAGAGGGAGGUGGAAUUCCGCGUGUAGCAGUGAGAUGCGUAGAUAUGCGGAGGAACACCGAUGGGGAAGGCAGCCUCCUGGGAUAACACUGACGCUCAUGCACGAAAGCGUGGGGAGCAAACAGG